UUAUGAUUUAAAUUUAAUCUUGAAUAAAAGUAGUUAUGUUCUUCAAAACUCAAAGAUUUGGGCGGUUAAGUUUAAUUUCUCAGAGGAACCUGUAUUAUAAUUGAUAAACCACGAUAGUUUAGACCUUAAAUUUAUUUGUAUACCUCUAUGAUUUAGGAAUGUUUUUAAAGAAUAUUUUCUUUUUGUAUAUUUACUUUAAUUUUAGGUCAAGGUGCAGUUUUAUUAAGGUAAGUAUGGGUUACUUUAGUUUUAAUUUUUUUUAAAUUUUAAUUAAUUAUUUUAGGAUUUGAAAGUAAUUUAAAUAAAUUAAUUUUUUUGAAUUUUUUUAAUUAAUGU
This 336-nucleotide ribosomal RNA is filed under the name Vanduzea arquata. RNAcentral's name for it is "partial 12S small subunit ribosomal RNA". The record is from RNAcentral. Lineage: Eukaryota; Metazoa; Arthropoda; Insecta; Hemiptera; Membracidae.